CACGCAGUAAACGAUGAAUACUAAUUGUCCGGCCGGAAUGACGGCUGGGUGAUACAGCGAAAGCGUUAAGUAUUCCACCUGGGGAGUACGCCGGCAACGGUGAAACUCAAAGGAAUUGACGGGGGCCCGCACAAGCGGAGGAACAUGUGGUUUAAUUCGAUGAUACGCGAGGAACCUUACCCGGGCUCAAACGACACAGGAAUGUUUUUGAAAGGAGGCAGCCCUACGGGGCCUGUGUCGAGGUGC
This 246-nucleotide ribosomal RNA is filed under the name uncultured Barnesiella sp. Its description in RNAcentral is "partial 16S ribosomal RNA". It matches the Rfam family "Bacterial small subunit ribosomal RNA", at positions 796 to 1041 of the family's 1533-position model. Lineage: Bacteria; Pseudomonadati; Bacteroidota; Bacteroidia; Bacteroidales; Barnesiellaceae. The record is from RNAcentral.